CGCCUCCUACAGAUCAACGUGCUCAGAAACAGAAUCAAUGACAACCAGAAAGUCUCCAAGACCCGGGGGAAGGCCAAGGUCACGGGGCGCUGGAAGUGAGACCCAGACCCGCUCCUGGCCGUGUCCUGCCCGCCCUGCAGGCCCCCAGCUCCUGGGCCCUCCUGGCACGGGGCCGGGUGGGGAGCAGGUUCUGUCUGGACACCGGGAGGGCCCAGCUGGCCGCCGCCACACACAGCUGCCACCCACAUGCCCACGCCACGCUAGGAAUAAAGCCACCGCCCACCCAUUGGCA
This is a long non-coding RNA of Myotis davidii, 292 nucleotides long. RefSeq lists it as uncharacterized. The record is from RefSeq and is a predicted model, not a curated record. The transcript has 2 exons. NCBI's taxonomy places the organism in Eukaryota, Metazoa, Chordata, Mammalia, Chiroptera, Vespertilionidae.